RNAcentral lists this ribosomal RNA (253 nucleotides) under uncultured bacterium. RNAcentral describes it as "partial 16S ribosomal RNA". It matches the Rfam family "Bacterial small subunit ribosomal RNA", at positions 524 to 776 of the family's 1533-position model. The record is from RNAcentral.
UACGGGGGGGGCAAGCGUUGUUCGGAAUUACUGGGCGUAAAGGGCUCGUAGGCGGCCAACUAAGUCAAACGUGAAAUCCCUCGGCUUAACCGGGGAACUGCGUCUGAUACUGGAUGGCUUGAGUUUGGGAGAGGGAUGCGGAAUUCCAGGUGUAGCGGUGAAAUGCGUAGAUAUCUGGAGGAACACCGGUGGCGAAGGCGCUCUGCUAGGCCGUAACUGACACUGAGGGACGAAAGCUAGGGGAGCGAAUGGG